This 655-nucleotide long non-coding RNA is filed under the name Elaeis guineensis (African oil palm). RNAcentral's name for it is "long non-coding RNA (EGUI_LNC033070)". The record is from RNAcentral. Lineage: Eukaryota; Viridiplantae; Streptophyta; Magnoliopsida; Arecales; Arecaceae.
CUUGAACACCUCCUCCUCAGCAUCUAACAAAAUUGAAGCUCUAACCAUCGACCUCACGAUGUGUUGAAGUCCUAGGAUUUUUUGGUCGAGACGAAAAAGAAGUGCUCCUUCUAAUUAUGCACUGAGGAAGGAGCUCCUUGGAAGAGACAAUAUCCUCUCCGAGGAGAAAUGUACCACCACCCAACCUCUGUAGGAUGCUUUUUAGUAUGAAGCAAGCCUGGAGAAGGUAGAAGGUCAAUUCGACCCUGAGGAGAAGGUAGUGGACAAAGAAACCUAUGUCUGACGCCAUAAGUUCAGUAUAAUGCUACAGAAGCCUAUUCUAUAUAAAUUAAGAAAAUCCAUGAUGAGAAAGUGGAAGGGUAGCCGAAGAUCGGCCUUUAAGGAUUCCUCAUAAAUGCCUACUUGACCCUGACGAGGAAGAGCUAUCCGUUCUCUGGGAAUGACGACAUCCAACCUAAACUCGAUUGGAACUAGGUAUUUUAACCUAAUAUUCUCCAAGUCCUCAGGUGUGAGGACAGAGUCUACUCUAAAUAGGCCAAAAUCUGAAACUACAGGGCCACUCGAAGAACAAACAACAUCAGACUCAGGGUCCGCACUCCUAAUGUCGUCACCCAAGCUUCAAGUGGAAGGGGACGAGCUAGACUUACUCAUAGUU